CAGUAGCCGCGGUAAUACGUAGGUGGCAAGCGUUGUCCGGAAUUAUUGGGCGUAAAGGGCUCGCAGGCGGUUUCUUAAGUCUGAUGUGAAAGCCCCCGGCUCAACCGGGGAGGGUCAUUGGAAACUGGGAAACUUGAGUGCAGAAGAGGAGAGUGGAAUUCCACGUGUAGCGGUGAAAUGCGUAGAGAUGUGGAGGAACACCAGUGGCGAAGGCGACUCUCUGGUCUGUAACUGACGCUGAGGAGCGAAAGCGUGGGGAGCGAACAGGAUUAGAUACCACUGUAGUCCCUGUCUCUUAUAU
RNAcentral lists this ribosomal RNA (301 nucleotides) under uncultured bacterium. RNAcentral's name for it is "partial 16S ribosomal RNA". It matches the Rfam family "Bacterial small subunit ribosomal RNA", at positions 509 to 809 of the family's 1533-position model. The record is from RNAcentral.